UCGCCGUGGUAGGGUGGGACACGUUCGAAAGGAACGCUAAUACCGCAUACGUCCUACGGGAGAAAGCAGGGGACCUUCGGGCCUUGCGCUAUCAGAUGAGCCUAGGUCGGAUUAGCUAGUUGGUGAGGUAAUGGCUCACCAAGGCGACGAUCCGUAACUGGUCUGAGAGGAUGAUCAGUCACACUGGAACUGAGACACGGUCCAGACUCCUACGGGAGGCAGCAGGU
This 227-nucleotide ribosomal RNA is filed under the name uncultured Pseudomonas sp. RNAcentral's name for it is "partial 16S ribosomal RNA". It matches the Rfam family "Bacterial small subunit ribosomal RNA", at positions 125 to 354 of the family's 1533-position model. The record is from RNAcentral. Lineage: Bacteria; Pseudomonadati; Pseudomonadota; Gammaproteobacteria; Pseudomonadales; Pseudomonadaceae.